AGCGAACGCUGGCGGCAGGCCUAACACAUGCAAGUCGAACGAACCUUUCGGGGUUAGUGGCGGACGGGUGAGUAACACGUGGGAACGUGCCUUUAGGUUCGGAAUAACUCAGGGAAACUUGUGCUAAUACCGAAUGUGCCCUUCGGGGGAAAGAUUUAUCGCCUUUAGAGCGGCCCGCGUCUGAUUAGCUAGUUGGUUGAGGUAAUGGCUCACCAAGGCGAUGAUCAGUAGCUGGUCUGAGAGGAUGAUCAGCCACAUUGGGACUGAGACACGGCCCAAACUCCUACGGGAGGCAGCAGUGGGGAAUCUUGCGCAAUGGGCGAAAGCCUGACGCAGCCAUGCCGCGUGAAUGAUGAAGGUCUUAGGAUUGUAAAAUUCUUUCACCGGGGACGAUAAUGACGGUACCCGGAGAAGAAGCCCCGGCUAACUUCGUG
Molecule: ribosomal RNA, 434 nt
Filed under: uncultured bacterium
Lineage: Bacteria
Description: partial 16S ribosomal RNA
Rfam family: Bacterial small subunit ribosomal RNA
Source: RNAcentral